UACGUAGGGUGCAAGCGUUAAUCGGAAUUACUGGGCGUAAAGCGUGCGCAGGCGGUCAUGCAAGACAGAUGUGAAAUCCCCGGGCUCAACCUGGGAACUGCAUUUGUGACUGCAUGGCUGGAGUGCGGCAGAGGGGGAUGGAAUUCUGCGUGUAGCAGUGAAAUGCGUAGAUAUGCGGAGGAACACCGAUGGCGAAGGCAGUCCCCUGGGCCUGUACUGACGCUCAUGCACGAAAGCGUGGGGAGCAAACAGG
Molecule: ribosomal RNA, 253 nt
Filed under: uncultured bacterium
Lineage: Bacteria
Description: partial 16S ribosomal RNA
Rfam family: Bacterial small subunit ribosomal RNA
Source: RNAcentral